This 74-nucleotide transfer RNA is filed under the name Delma butleri. RNAcentral's name for it is "tRNA-Trp". It matches the Rfam family "tRNA". From Rfam's summary of the family: Transfer RNA (tRNA) molecules are approximately 80 nucleotides in length. Their secondary structure includes four short double-helical elements and three loops (D, anti-codon, and T loops). Further hydrogen bonds mediate the characteristic L-shaped molecular structure. tRNAs have two regions of fundamental functional importance: the anti-codon, which is responsible for specific mRNA codon recognition, and the 3' end, to which the tRNAs corresponding amino acid is attached (by aminoacyl-tRNA synthetases). tRNAs cope with the degeneracy of the genetic code in two manners: having more than one tRNA (with a specific anti-codon) for a particular amino acid; and 'wobble' base-pairing, i.e. permitting non-standard base-pairing at the 3rd anti-codon position. Lineage: Eukaryota; Metazoa; Chordata; Lepidosauria; Squamata; Pygopodidae. The record is from RNAcentral.
AGAAACUUAGGUUAAUAUACCCAAACCAAGAGCCUUCAAAGCCCUAAACAUAGGACAAAAUCCUAUAGUUUCUG